RNAcentral lists this long non-coding RNA (394 nucleotides) under Phoenix dactylifera (date palm). RNAcentral describes it as "long non-coding RNA (PDAC_LNC010888)". Lineage: Eukaryota; Viridiplantae; Streptophyta; Magnoliopsida; Arecales; Arecaceae. The record is from RNAcentral.
UCUAAGUACCAAUUAACUUAGCCUAAUGCUAGCAAAAUAAUGAUAAAUAAUAGGUGUUAAUAUUUGCAUUAUUAAUAUUUUAUCUUUAGCACUUAUUAUAAUUUUUAGCAUUAUUCUGUAUAAAUUCAUCUAAAAAGGACUCAUCUUUCCAACUGCAGAACAGAAUCCAUGACUCUCCUUCUGCGCACCCGAGCAACUUCCCAAAUUCCGCGAUGCAACUCAAGCUUCCAGCCAUCUGCAGUCAAUUAACUUUGUGAUUCCAAAUCAGCAUCAUCCCAAGCGCCAGCAUCAGUUGCUUUUCCAUCUGCACCAUCCACGUUCCAGCAUAUCAGAACUCCUCCCUCCCCAUCUUGACCGCUUCCUCAUCCUUCCAGCGUUUCGUGUCCAACUUGUC